This is a long non-coding RNA of Magnolia sinica, 1432 nucleotides long. RefSeq lists it as uncharacterized. The transcript has 3 exons. The record is from RefSeq and is a predicted model, not a curated record. NCBI's taxonomy places the organism in Eukaryota, Viridiplantae, Streptophyta, Magnoliopsida, Magnoliales, Magnoliaceae.
AUAAUAAAACUGUAUUUUUAGGUAUAAAUGGCACCAUACACUUUGUUGCUAUACAUCAUAUACUACAUCCGUGGGUUUUUUUUAUACCAUUGGAUCCAGUUAUAGCAAAUACUUGAUAGUUGAUAGUUUACUUUAGCAUGUAUGGUAAUCGAGGCCUGACUAAAUUAUUGAACCAAACUCAAGUUAAAUAGUGUUUCUAAUAAUCUUGGAUUCAGCUAUGUUUUAUUUAUAGUUAUACAAGAUAGCUAAAUAUAUGAUGUGAUGGUUCUAUUGUUUGAAGUAAUUUAUUGUGUUUAGAAGUGAUUGUAUUUUCCAUGGGUGGAACAGACCCAUCCCAUCCAUGCUUCACUCAACUGAGCAUCUCUGCUUAUGGGCCUCAUGGGAUUAUGCAUAGUGAACGAACAUGAGUUGAACUGGCCAAUUGGCGGUACUUAAUACAAUAUAAAUCAGGUGUGUUCACCUGGAGGUCUUGUUUAUCUCAUAUGUUUGCCAUGUCCACACACGUGGAAGCCUGCGGAGGGGCUGGGGCUGACAAUAUACAUCAACUCCCAAGGUGGAUGAGUGCAAGUCUGCACAUGGGUGGAAUUUCCUGACAAUAUACCACAGCUUAUGGUUGGGCCCUGGCCCAUCUGAGAUAGCACCCAUCUCCAAGAUCAUCUGAAACCAUUGUCUCCUGAUAUGUGCCAAUUGACUGGCCUAUGGUACUUAUAAGUGGAUACUAAUGGAACCUGCAUCAAUGGUUGUCUGGUACUUAUUAAGUGGAUACUAAUGAUAUUCUAUUUCAGCCUGCCACCACUAAUGGUAAGCAACAAGACUCUCUGCUAAAAUUUUCCCUUAACAUUUGGUUUGUCAUGUUGAGUUGUGCUUCCAUUCUAUGGAUUUCUCCUCAUGGUGUUCAUUUCCUCAUGCUUGCAGAUAGGAUCCACAGCAAAAUGGGUGAAGGUUAGUUUCUGCAACUAACAUAAUCUGAAAACCUCCCCUUGUCUACUUGCAUGGUACUUUCAGCAGUGUGUGCCUUUAGAAGCACAACUUGUAACCAGUUUGGCUGCCUGAUUGGUAGUUCCAAAUGCAAGAUCAUGCAUCUGGAGAAUGCUGUGCCCCUGAGCUGGUGAGUUGGCCGAAAAUGUUUCAAAAAUGAUUGAUUCUCAUUUUGCAGAGAAGAUUGAUAUGUCAGAAGUGCAGGAUAAGUUCUUAGUGGUGAUCACAAAAGCAUUGAUUCCAUUAGUACAUGGGCUAUAAACUAAAUUUGAUACUGAAAUGGUUGCAAUGACACGUGUUCCAUGGGGUACUCUUAAAAGUGUUGGUGACCAAUCAGAGUACGGCUCCACUCUCCUAUUUUGUGUGAUGCAUCAUUUGAGGAUCAAAUGAAAGAAAUGUCAUUCUUUUUGUUUGAACCAGCGGUGGUACAUAUGGAUGCCAUCUUUCAAUAGUA